Molecule: ribosomal RNA, 418 nt
Filed under: uncultured bacterium
Lineage: Bacteria
Description: bacterial SSU rRNA
Rfam family: Bacterial small subunit ribosomal RNA
Source: RNAcentral
AUAUUGGUCAAUGGGCGCAAGCCUGAACCAGCCAUGCCGCGUGCAGGAUGACGGUCCUAUGGAUUGUAAACUGCUUUUGUACGGGAAGAAACCCCUUUACGUGUAAAGGGCUGACGGUACCGUAAGAAUAAGGAUCGGCUAACUCCGUGCCAGCAGCCGCGGUAAUACGGAGGAUCCAAGCGUUAUCCGGAAUCAUUGGGUUUAAAGGGUCCGUAGGCGGCUGUAUAAGUCAGUGGUGAAAUCCGGCAGCUCAACUGUCGAACUGCCAUUGAUACUGUACAGCUUGAAUUAUUGUGAAGUAACUAGAAUAUGUAGUGUAGCGGUGAAAUGCUUAGAUAUUACAUGGAAUACCAAUUGCGAAGGCAGGUUACUAACAAUACAUUGACGCUGAUGGACGAAAGCGUGGGGAGCGAACAGG